This 253-nucleotide ribosomal RNA is filed under the name uncultured bacterium. RNAcentral's name for it is "partial 16S ribosomal RNA". It matches the Rfam family "Bacterial small subunit ribosomal RNA", at positions 524 to 776 of the family's 1533-position model. The record is from RNAcentral.
UACGUAGGGUGCGAGCGUUGCCCGGAUUUAUUGGGCGUAAAGGGCGCGUAGGCGGCCACGCACGUCCGUUGUGAAAUCGCCCGGCUCAACUGGGCGGGGUCGGCGGAUACGGCGUGGCUGGAGCAAGCUAGGGGGCAAUGGAAUUCCUGGUGUAGCGGUGAAAUGCGCAGAUAUCAGGAGGAACACCGGUGGCGAAGGCGGGUCUCUGGGCCGAUACUGACGCUGAGGAGCGAAAGCGUGGGGAGCGAACAGG